This 861-nucleotide ribosomal RNA is filed under the name uncultured organism. RNAcentral describes it as "bacterial SSU rRNA". It matches the Rfam family "Bacterial small subunit ribosomal RNA", at positions 520 to 1390 of the family's 1533-position model. The record is from RNAcentral.
GUAAUACGGAGGAUGCAAGCGUUAUCCGGAAUCACUGGGUUUAAAGGGUGCGCAGNCGGAAUAGUAAGUCAGAGGUGAAAGCCCACAGCUCAACUGUGGAAUUGCCUUUGAUACUGUUAUUCUUGAGUGUAGUUGAAGUAGNCGGAAUAUAGCAUGUACCGGUGAAAUGCAUAGAUAUGCUAUAGAACACCAAUUGCGAAGGCAGCUUGCUAAACUAUAACUGACGCUGAGGCACGAAAGCGUGGGGAGCGAACAGGAUUAGAUACCCUGGUAGUCCACGCCGUAAACUAUGAACACUCGCUGUUGGCAAUACACAGUCAGCGGCUGAGCGAAAGCGUUAAGUGUUCCACCUGGGAAGUACGAUCGCAAGGUUGAAACUCAAAGGAAUUGACGGGGGCCCGCACAAGCGGAGGAGCAUGUGGUUUAAUUCGAUGAUACGCGAGGAACCUUACCUGGGCUUAAAUGUAUAUUGACGUACUGAGAAAUCAGUAUUUCUUCGGACAAUUUACAAGGUGCUGCAUGGUUGUCGUCAGCUCGUGCCGUGAGGUGUCGGGUUAAGUCCCAUAACGAGCGCAACCCCUACUUCUAGUUACCAGCAUUUCGGAUGGGGACUCUAGAGGAACUGCCUACGCAAGUAGAGAGGAAGGUGGGGAUGACGUCAAAUCAGCACGGCCAUUAUGUCCAGGGCUACACACGUGCUACAAUGGCCGGUACAGAGGGCAGCUACAUAGCAAUAUGAUGCUAAUCUCAAAAGCCGNUCUCAGUCCGGAUUGGAGUCUGCAACUCGACUCCAUGAAGCUGGAUUCGCUAGUAAUCGCACAUCAGCAAUGGUGCGGUGAANCGUUCCCGGGCAUGACACAC